UCUCUCUGCUACAACUAUUUUAUUUUAGAGGAAACAGCUAUUCAGCUUCUUCUCUCUGUCUUGUUACCUACAGGUCCUCAGGUGUUCAUCUGAGAGAAACAUGUACUUAUCCAUGUGCAAUAUUAUCUUCUAUGCUCUUUAAGUACUCUUUGGUGACAAAAGGUAAAACACAACUUUGGGAAGUGACAAUGUUAUUCAAAGGGUAACUAAUUUAUAUAGGCAGUCAUGUGAUCACUGUAAUGAAAAAUAGAGAAAUAAUAUAUUUUCUCCAAUGUAAAAAUAAUUACAAUUAUUAGCUAAGGGAUAAAUUAUGGCAAAAAAAAUGAGACAACUUUCUUUCCUUCAGGUCUACCUGAGUUUUGUGGCUGAUUGACAACUUCUGUAUCACCUAUCUUGUGCCUGACUGCGUCCAGUUCAUGGAAAGGGACCUUUGGAGAUCAUCUGGUCUAACUUCCCACAUGAAGUGGAACUACUGCUGGUGCUGGAUCAGAAUUAGAAGACCUUGUUAAUAUUCCAGACCUGGUUUAUGGAACUGCUGGCAGUAGCUACAGAUCUAUUUGAAUCAAAAUGAAAGCUGAUGGAAGAAAUCAAAAAUGCAGUGCAGCAGCUCAGUGUUGAUGCAUACCAAGGAUGGCAAAGACAUCAUCAAGGAGUGGGCAGAAGUAAAUGUUGGUGCGCAGGAAUACAUAAAUAGCCUACACCGAUGUGCAGAGCAGAGAAAGACUACUUAGGAUGGAUGGGGCUAUCAAGACACAAUCUAGGAAACACAGUGUUGGAGCUGAGGUAAUUCUAAAGUAGGAUUCCUCCUGCAAGCAUCCAAAUGAUAGGCAUAAGCACAAGUGGAUGAUUUUCUGAAGGUAAGGUUGCUAGGAUAAAUUACAUCUUAAAAACCUUGUAAUGAAAUAAACUACCAUUUUUCAUAUUGUCCCUAUGAAACAAGAAACAUUUCAGAUCAAAUCAGCAGAUGUAACUGAAAGCACGGAUGCCAAUUUCAAUCUUAACUAUUGUUCAGUUAGCUCAUAAAAGCAAUUUCUUGUAGGAUAAACCAGGUUAUGAAUGUGUCUGUUAGCUCAUGGGUGUUCAACCUUUUGGCUUGCCUGAUCUGCAUUGAAUGAAGAGGAACUGUAUUAGGCUGCAUAAGUUGCUCUGAAAGUAAUGCC
This is a long non-coding RNA of Numida meleagris (helmeted guineafowl), 1160 nucleotides long. RefSeq lists it as uncharacterized. NCBI's taxonomy places the organism in Eukaryota, Metazoa, Chordata, Aves, Galliformes, Numididae. The transcript is spliced from 5 exons. The record is from RefSeq and is a predicted model, not a curated record.